AUGUUCUUUCGUAAAAUAUGUUGCAUUCAGUUGGCAAUACGGAAAUGGGCUGCCAGUGACAAUGAGCUUGUGCAAACAAUGUCUGAGGAAAUGAAGCGGAAAUUUGACAAAUAUUGGAAAGAUGUACUUGAUCUUAUGUCUGUCGCAACUGUUCUUGAUCCAAGGUACAAGCUUCAUAUGUUGCAAGCUAUUUUUGGUUCUCUCUAUGGAACGGAACAUGCAGCUGUGGAAGUUGCCAGAAUAAGGAAUUUAAUGGCUAAUUUGCUGAAACAAUAUCAAGAAGCUGAUGGGGUUGUGGCUACAUCAGAGGCUGUUAGCAGUGCUGCUUCAGGAGCUGGUGGAGAAGAUGACAUAAUGGACAUAUUUGAUCAAUAUAUGUCCUCACGGCCUACUAUCGGUGCUUCUCCAGUGCAGACAGAAUUGGACUUGUACUUGGAAGAGGAAAUUAUCCGUAGAAUACCAGACGAAGACAUCAUGACUUGGUGGAAGUAUGGGGGUGCAAAGUAUCCUACUUUGCAAAGAAUUGCUCGUGAUAUAUUGCCUAUCCCUGCAUCAGCUGUGAUAUCAGAAUCAGCCUUUAAUACGAAGGGCAGGCUGCUUAGUCCACAUCGUGGCCAACUUGCGCCAAGCAUGGUAGAAGCUAUUAUGUGUAUGAAGGCUUGGUCCCGUGCUGACAUGAUUGGGGACGGCAAUUCGACCCUCUGUGCAGUGUUUCAGAGUGUUCUUGAUGAUGAAGAAGAAAUGAUGGAUGACUCUGAAUCUAUGGUAACGGAAGACUAG
This 780-nucleotide ribosomal RNA is filed under the name Triticum aestivum (bread wheat). RNAcentral's name for it is "partial small subunit ribosomal RNA". Lineage: Eukaryota; Viridiplantae; Streptophyta; Magnoliopsida; Poales; Poaceae. The record is from RNAcentral.